GAUGAACGCUAGCUACAGGCUUAACACAUGCAAGUCGAGGGGUAGCAGGGUAGCAAUACCGCUGACGACCGGCGCACGGGUGAGUAACACGUAUCCAACCUUCCCAUAACUCGGGGAUAGCCUUUCGAAAGAAAGAUUAAUACCCGAUGGUACUUAUAUAAGGCAUCUUAAAUAAGUUAAAGAUUUAUUGGUUAUGGAUGGGGAUGCGUUCCAUUAGAUAGUUGGUGAGGUAACGGCUCACCAAGUCUUCGAUGGAUAGGGGUUCUGAGAGGAAGGUCCCCCACAUUGGUACUGAGACACGGACCAAACUCCUACGGGAGGCAGCAGUGAGGAAUAUUGGUCAAUGGGCGAGAGCCUGAACCAGCCAAGUAGCGUGAAGGAUGAAGGUCCUAUGGAUUGUAAACUUCUUUUAUAGUAGAAUAAAGUGAUCCACGUGUGGAUUUUUGUAUGUAUACUAUGAAUAAGGAUCGGCUAACUCCGUG
This 482-nucleotide ribosomal RNA is filed under the name uncultured bacterium. RNAcentral describes it as "bacterial SSU rRNA". It matches the Rfam family "Bacterial small subunit ribosomal RNA", at positions 28 to 507 of the family's 1533-position model. The record is from RNAcentral.